GUGCGGUGAGGGCUCGUGAACGCGGACAGGGACCGCGCAAUGCAUUUUGGGAGUUUAGGACACGGAAGUUAGCAGCAGAGAYGGGUUAGCUGCGCAGUUUGUUUUGUUAUUGUUUUGGUUUUGUGAUCCACCGCAAAAGUACACUCAAAAGGUGAAUGAAAGCUGUGUUAUUAACAGCCGCAGUCCUUCUCACGAUCGGAGGGGGAAACUUAUAGCAAAGGGGGUGCGUUUUUUUUUCAGCCUUUCGGCAUGAAAACAACACAGGAAGCCAGGCUGCCGAGCUAACAGAUGGGUGGCAGCUGCCACGAACCAACAUCACCUUCAGGAGGAUUUCCAGAAAUAUGUUUGUGUGAUCRCGUCAUUUCCACACAGGCAAGCCAGCCUACGAGUUGUUGGAUUGUCAUCCUGACUGGGUACCUUCUUCCUGGGCGCACAGAAGUUCAAGCUGGAGGAAARUAGGAUCCUGAAGGAAGAGCUGUUCUGAAAUAAAUAAUAAAUAAAAAGAAUGAGCRAUUCUUACAAGAUGAUGUGAUGGUCAAGUAUUUCACUGGACUUCCAUGUUUGGCUGUUUUUGAUGGGAGAGCUGACUCAGCUACUUCUGUCUAACACAGACUUGAAACUGAGCUGAACAUGAAAAUUGUUCCACAUAGGAGUGUUGUAUAAAUGACUGAAGAAUAUUUCAGUUUUGAGUUUCUUUAUUUAUGAAAAAAUGUUGAUAAUGUUGAUGUUUAUAACAUAUAAAGCAUGUCAAGGUUACAGUAACUGAACUGUAAAUGCCACUGUGAGCAAAUAAAAUACAAUUUGAAUACAAACUAAAAUUUAAACUGAAAAUGUACUGCAGAUAUUUCACGUGAAUAGUGUUCUAAUAAAACCGAUGGAGUGGCAGUUUAAUCUGAAAUAUGCACCAUUUCUGUAYACAAGUAAGUGAAUAAAAAUAUUGUAAGCAUAUUUGCUGCUAAUGAAAAAUAAAACUUGAAAAAAAAAACUG
Austrofundulus limnaeus is the source of this 988-nucleotide long non-coding RNA. RefSeq lists it as uncharacterized. The transcript is spliced from 2 exons. NCBI's taxonomy places the organism in Eukaryota, Metazoa, Chordata, Actinopteri, Cyprinodontiformes, Rivulidae. The record is from RefSeq and is a predicted model, not a curated record.